ACUGUUUCGUUUCCACAGAAAUAUCGUCCGCUUCUAACCAGCUUGGUUGGGCUGGUUGGGGGCAGCCAUGGGAUGCACGGAUUCGGUCUUCGGCAUUUACAAUGAAAAUUUCCUUUCGUUGUUUUUUGGUUGUUGAAGGGUUUGAGCAUGAGGAAAAAGGUGAUUUUGCAACCUCACCAAAGCAUUUCAGAAUUGCUUGGGUGAAGCUGAUGACUGUGUGCGUUGCAGGACUAUAACAAAAUGGCGCAACUACAUCUAUUCGUGGACUUUGAAAUAGAAACAAGGGGACUGUUCGUGUGUGAAUAAAGGCUUGCCAUUGC
This is a long non-coding RNA of Prunus dulcis (almond), 320 nucleotides long. RefSeq lists it as uncharacterized. The record is from RefSeq and is a predicted model, not a curated record. The transcript has 3 exons. NCBI's taxonomy places the organism in Eukaryota, Viridiplantae, Streptophyta, Magnoliopsida, Rosales, Rosaceae.